GUAUGUGAGGGCGAUCUGACUGCAUCAUCUGUCACCCCACUGAUUGCCAGAGUUGAUUCAGCUGAUCUGGCUGGCUAGGCAGGGUCCCCUCCUCCCUCACCCCUCCACUCGGUAGAAGAGGACGACCUUCCCCAACAGGGGAGAGGACAGUUCUUCUAUCAAGGGUAUAUGAGGAGCUGCGCUCCCCUGCUGUAACCUCCAAACUCUCUAGUAAAUAAUUUUACUAAAUGUGUUGCAAAUGCACAGAAGAGCCCACAAGAUAUGAGGUCCCUUCUGAAUAAAUAGGUUGUAAAAGUUCA
Molecule: small nuclear RNA, 299 nt
Filed under: Pteropus vampyrus (large flying fox)
Lineage: Eukaryota; Metazoa; Chordata; Mammalia; Chiroptera; Pteropodidae
Description: 7SK RNA (ENSPVAG00000024969.1)
Rfam family: 7SK RNA
About the family: 7SK was discovered as an abundant small nuclear RNA in the mid-70s but a possible function has only recently been suggested.
Source: Rfam by way of RNAcentral